Molecule: non-coding RNA, 339 nt
Organism: Poecilia reticulata (guppy)
Lineage: Eukaryota; Metazoa; Chordata; Actinopteri; Cyprinodontiformes; Poeciliidae
Source: RefSeq, a predicted model, not a curated record
GCCAGAUCAAGCCGGGGUCCUGCGCUUCAAGAUGAGGUUACAUGUUAUGAUUGGCUGGACUUUCCGUGCGUGCUGCGUUGAAGUCGAAACAGAGCUGAUUCAUCUCGGGACUGCCUUAAACGCGGAAGUGCGACACUACAUGGCUCAAAUAAAUAAGCAUCACUUAGCAAAGCUGUGCCGAGAAAACACUCCAGGAAGGGCCGAUAAGUGUCAGUGUCUGCCUCACACAAACAGGGAGAUUGUAGAAUAUGUCCCGAUUAUAGCACGGCUCGUUCUUAUUGUUGACUUUUCUGCAGUUGAAAGGAGGAUGUGAGUUACAACAAUAAAGUCGGUCUCUUA